This 1342-nucleotide ribosomal RNA is filed under the name uncultured bacterium. Its description in RNAcentral is "16S ribosomal RNA". It matches the Rfam family "Bacterial small subunit ribosomal RNA", at positions 28 to 1378 of the family's 1533-position model. The record is from RNAcentral.
GACGAACGCUGGCGGCGUGCUUAACACAUGCAAGUCGAACGGAAAGGCCCUGCUUUUGUGGGGUGCUCGAGUGGCGAACGGGUGAGUAACACGUGAGUAACCUGCCCUUGACUUUGGGAUAACUUCAGGAAACUGGGGCUAAUACCGGAUAGGAGCUCCUGCUGCAUGGUGGGGGUUGGAAAGUUUCGGCGGUUGGGGAUGGACUCGCGGCUUAUCAGCUUGUUGGUGGGGUAGUGGCUUACCAAGGCUUUGACGGGUAGCCGGCCUGAGAGGGUGACCGGCCACAUUGGGACUGAGAUACGGCCCAGACUCCUACGGGAGGCAGCAGUGGGGAAUAUUGCACAAUGGGCGGAGGCCUGAUGCAGCAACGCCGCGUGCGGGAUGACGGCCUUCGGGUUGUAAACCGCUUUCGCCUGUGACGAAGCGUGAGUGACGGUAAUGGGUAAAGAAGCACCGGCUAACUACGUGCCAGCAGCCGCGGUGAUACGUAGGGUGCGAGCGUUGUCCGGAUUUAUUGGGCGUAAAGGGCUCGUAGGUGGUUGAUCGCGUCGGAAGUGUAAUCUUGGGGCUUAACCCUGAGCGUGCUUUCGAUACGGGUUGACUUGAGGAAGGUAGGGGAGAAUGGAAUUCCUGGUGGAGCGGUGGAAUGCGCAGAUAUCAGGAGGAACACCAGUGGCGAAGGCGGUUCUCUGGGCCUUUCCUGACGCUGAGGAGCGAAAGCGUGGGGAGCGAACAGGCUUAGAUACCCUGGUAGUCCACGCUGUAAACGGUGGGUACUAGGUGUGGGGUCCAUUCCACGGGUUCCGUGCCGUAGCUAACGCUUUAAGUACCCCGCCUGGGGAGUACGGCCGCAAGGCUAAAACUCAAAGGAAUUGACGGGGCCCCGCACAAGCGGCGGAGCAUGCGGAUUAAUUCGAUGCAACGCGUAGAACCUUACCUGGGUUUGACAUGGAUCGGGAGUGCUCAGAGAUGGGUGUGCCUCUUUGGGGUCGGUUCACAGGUGGUGCAUGGCUGUCGUCAGCUCGUGUCGUGAGAUGUUGGGUUAAGUCCCGCAACGAGCGCAACCCUUGUUCACUGUUGCCAGCACGUUAUGGUGGGGACUCAGUGGAGACCGCCGGGGUCAACUCGGAGGAAGGUGGGGAUGACGUCAAGUCAUCAUGCCCCUUAUGUCCAGGGCUUCACGCAUGCUACAAUGGCUGGUACAGAGAGUGGCGAGCCUGUGAGGGUGAGCGAAUCUCGGAAAGCCGGUCUCAGUUCGGAUUGGGGUCUGCAACUCGACCUCAUGAAGUCGGAGUCGCUAGUAAUCGCAGAUCAGCAACGCUGCGGUGAAUACGUUCCCGGG